AAACCCGGGACCACGACAACAUGGCAACCGCCUUCCGUGCCGAAGACAUCAGUGCACCACGUGACGACCCUUCCUGCCGCGCCUGCGCGGUGACCCUGAGAAGAAGCGGAAGCGACCGGAGAUCGAUUGUUUUCUUGAAGGACAAAUAAUAAAGAAAUAAUCGUAAAGCUGUAGAAGUAAAUGAUAUUACUGAUCAGAGCUCGGCCAAUGCACAGAAGAGUAAUCGCAAUCCAGUGAUCACACUGUGAAGACCUAAAGAAUGUGAAGUGGAGCUGUUGUCUGGCCCAGCAUUGUCCUGGGUUUCCCGUCAGGACCAGUCACUGCUAGAGGAUGAACGUGUCUCAGCGGGCUGCGGUGUCCUUCACUGAUGUGGCCGCUUCCUUCUCAGAGGAGGAGUGGGGCGUCCUGAAGGAGUGGCAGCGUACACUUUACGGGAACGUGAUGCUGGAGAUUCACGGCGUGCUGCGUGGUCUAGGAUAUCGUAUCGAGAACUCUGAGGUCCUGUUCCGAAUUAUCAGCAAGGAGGAGACCAGCCUGGAAGACGUUGCAGGACGCGGACCUGAUAUCGUGUUGCGGAUAAAUUACCAGGGGCUGGGAGAGACAUGUGAUGAGAUGGAGGAGUCUGAGCGAAGGGUCAUAAAGACUGAGACAGAUUUACUGGCCAAGAUUAAGCAGGAGAAAGACGUAGAUGACACCAGGGUCCCCAUCAUGUCCUUAGAGCCGAAUGGGAAAAGUUACAGCACCCCAGGUCUUGUGCUUGACUCGCUUUAUCCUAUGACUGUAAAGAAUGAGGCAGAAGAUGGCGGUAACCCCAAUCUGACAGAAACCAACAGUGAGUGGACAGUGAGUAAGACCAGACUUCGGUGUUGUAGCUGGACCACCGGAGACCCCGUACCGGAGCAGACUGGCAGGGAUCGGACUCACAGGAGGAAAGGUGUCGCCCAGCAGAUGAAGUCUGUGUCCGCAUUACAUGAUACCGAACCCAAAGAGAACGAGGCGCCACCACACCAACGCUUCUUCCCCGAGUGUGAGGCCAGCUUCACAGGUAUAAAGCUUCCAGUGCAGAAGGAGAUCUAUCCCAUCAGCUUCCAGCAGCAGGGGCAGACGCUCGUAAUCUGCAGCGAAUGCGGAAAGACCUUCUGCAACAACUCCAGCUUCCAGGUGCACAUGAGGACCCACACGGGGGAAAGACCCUACAAGUGCACCCACUGUGACAAAACCUUCAUCCGCGGCUCCCACCUCAAGAUCCACCUACGGACACACACGGGAGAGCGGCCCUACAAGUGUCCCGAGUGUGACAAGAGCUUCCGGGACAACUCCUGCUUCGCUCGGCACCAGAGAAUCCACACUGGGGAGAAACCAUAUCUGUGUGUUACGUGCGGGAAGUAUUUCCGGAAAAAGUCCAACCUGAAGGAUCAUCAAAGGACGCACACCGGGGAGCGUCCGUACAAGUGCAAGUACUGUGACAAGACCUUCCACCAGAGGUCCAACCACCGAGUCCAUGAGAAGAACCACCACAGAGACAGCUGAGCACAAGAGAACUGUCCUUCAGUGAGUGAAAACAUGGGAGUGGCUGUGCAAGUACUGGGACUAUUCCUUCUGCUGGAGUCCAACCACAGCCGACUGCGGGGUACCAUAGGACUGUCCCUAGUGGUGUGCACAUAGAAGAGAAGCCAUAUGAGUGCAGGUACUGCAACCUUCCACCAGAGUCCAUGAGAAGGACCAUCACAGAGAUAGCUGAGUGCAGCAGGUCUGUCCUUUGGACACAAGGGAGUGGCCGUGCAAGUACUGGGACAAGUCCUUCUGCUAGAGGUCCAACCACAGCCGACAGCGGAGUACCGUAGGACUGUCCCUAGUGGUGUGCACAUAGAAGAGAAGCCAUAUGAGCGCAAGUACCUGCGACCUUCCACCAGAGGUCCAACCACAGAGUCCACGAGAAGGACCAUCACAGAGAUAGCUGAGUGCAGCAGGUCUGUCCUUUGAAGAGUACACACGGGAGUGGCCGUACUGGGGCAAGUCCUUAUUCUAGAGGUCCUACCACAGGGUUCAUGAUAAGAACCACCACAGAGACUAGACCUUCUGCUACAGGUCUCACCACAGCUGACAGUGGAGUAGAACUUAGGGGAGUGUACAUAGAAGAGCAGCCAUACAAGCUUUCUAUCUUUCACUAGAGGUCCAUGAGAAGGACCACCAUGGAGACAGCUGAGCAUGUUAGGACCAUCCCUAAGGAAGUGCACACAUGGGAGCAGCCGUACAAGUUCUGGGACAAGACCUUCCACCAGAAGUCCAACCACAGAGUUCAUAAGAACCAGCAGUGCGCACACAGUUACUUCCUUUGUCUUGCCAAUCACGCCAAAGCAUAUACUCAUCUCUAUUCUAUGACACAGUGCUGAUAAAAGUGCACUGGACUAAACUGUCUUGCACUGUGCUGUGACUUACACCAGUGUUUCCUAACCAGGGUGCCUUCAGCUGGUGCAAAGCUACAACUCCCAGCAUGCCCGGACAGCCAUGGCCUGUCCGGGAAUGCUGUGAGUUGUAGCUUUGCAACAGCUGGAGGCACGCUGGUUGCUAAACGCUGACUUACACAGUACAGUACUAUAGAGGUCACGUGGAGGAAUAAGGGUUAUUGAUGCAGUAGGUUUAUAGGGUGCUAUGUGAGAAGAAAGGAAAGAAACAGCCUGAGCGCAGCAAGGAAAGAGUUACACCAACUGCUGCUGCUACAGGGAGGUCACACUGCAGAACUAUGGACAUACAAGAGUGGGUACACAAGGGGGACAGCUGCCCUGGGUUUGAUGGGUGGUCAGAAAUAAGAGGAAAGCCUUGAUAUAUAUAAGAGGAAAGCCUUGAGGAACUUUUUGUUUUCCAUCCUGAUCUUUAGCUGUAAGUAGAAACCGAUUUUACAUAAAAACAGGCAUGGGGCAGCAGAAAAGGGAGACGCCUAGUGGUGGGAAAUUGUGUGAAACCACAGUGACUAUUCAAGAUGUAAGGAGUGAGACAGUAUAGAGUGUCCGGCAUCCGAUACCCCCUCCCUCCCCCCCCUCCCCCUGAAUCCAUAUUUAUCUAAAGUUCAUAUCUCCAAGAAAAUGUACAAAUACACUGUAACAAAGUGUAAGAAGAAAUGCAAAAUAAAAAUAUAUACUUGGUAAAUAGGUGACAUCCUCCUAUGUGUAAUAACCUGCUGAACAAUACUCAAAUGUCCUGAACAAUUCUCUGAAGUCCUUAACAAGUAUUGAUCUACAGUUUGCUAUGGGUGCUCAGCUUUAUCUCUGUGUAUAUACUUCCUAUGUGAUUCAAUGUUCUAUCUGCCUUAUGUUCUCCUCUUUAACUACAGUCUGUGUAAACUGCCCUACAUGUAUACUCUUCUCUCUAUCUACAGCCUGUGUGAGCUGUCCUACUUGUAUGCUCUCCUCUCUAUCUACAGCCUGUGUUCUGCCCUCCAUAUAUACUCUCCUCCCAAUCUACAGCCUGUGUGAGCUGUCCUCCAUGUAUGUUCUCUCUAUAUACAGCCUGUGUACCCUGUCCUCCAUGUAUGCUCUCCUCCCUAUAGCCUGUGUGAGCUGUCCUCCAUGUAUGCUCUCCUCCCUAUAUACAACUUGUGUGAGCUGUCCUCCUUGUAUACUCUGCUUACUAUCUACAGCCAAUAUGAGCUGUCCUAUGUGUGUGCUCUCCUUAUCUACAGCCUGUGUGAGCUGCCCUCCAUGUAUACUCUCCUCCAUAUCUCCAUCUUGUGUGAGCUGUCAUCCAUGUAUGCUCCCCUCCCUAUCUACAGCCUGUUUGAGCUGCUUUACAUGUAUGCUUUCCUCUCUAUCUACAGCCUGUGUAAGCUGCCCUCCAUGUAUUCUCAUUAUAUAUAUAGCCUGUGUGAGCUGUCCUCCAUGUAUGCUCUCCUCCCUAUAUACAGCCUAUGUGAGAUGCCCUCCGUGUAUGUUCCCCUCCCUAUCUACAGCCUGUGUGAGCUGUCCUCCAUGUAUGUUCUCUCUAUAUACAGCCUGUGUAACCUGUCCUCCAUGUAUGCUCUCCUCCCUAUAGCCUGUGUGAGCUGUCCUCCAUGUAUGCUCUCCUCCCUAUAUACAACUUGUGUGAGCUGUCCUCCUUGUAUACUCUGCUUACUAUCUACAGCCUAUAUGAGCUGUCCUAUGUGUGUGCUCUCCUUAUCUACAGCUUGUGUGAGCUGCCCUCCAUGUAUACUCUCCUCCAUAUCUCCAUCUUGUGUGAGCUGUCAUCCAUGUAUGCUCCCCUCCCUAUCUACAGCCUGUUUGAGCUGCUUUACAUGUAUGCUUUCCUCUCUAUCUACAGCCUGUGUAAGCUGCCCUCCAUGUAUUCUCAUUAUAUAUAGCCUGUGUGAGCUGUCCUCCAUGUAUGCUCUCCUCCCUAUAUACAGCCUGUGUGAGAUGCCCUCCGUGUAUGUUCCCCUCCCUAUCUACAGCCUGUGUGAGCCCCCCUCCCAUGUAUACUCUGCUUACUAUGUUUGCUCUCCUUAUCUACAGCUUGUGUGAGCAGCCCCCAUUAAUGCUCUCCUCUCUAUCUACAGCCUGUGUGAGCUGUCCUCCAUGUAUGUUCUCUCUAUCUACAGCCUGUGUUAGCUGCCCUCCAUGUAUGCUCUCCUCUCUAUCUCCAGCCUGUAUGAGCUGCCCUCCACCUCCCUAUCUAGAGCCUCUAUGAGCUGCCCUCCAUGUAUGCUUACCUCUCUAUCUACAGCGUGUGAGGCUGUAUGCUCUCCUCCCUAUCUACAGCCUUUGUGAGCUGCCCUCUAUGUAUGAUCUCCCUAUCUACUGCCUGUGUCAGCUGCCCCUCCAUGUAUGCUCUCCUCCCUAUCUCCAGCCUGUGUGAGCUGUCCUCCAUGUAUGCUCUCCUCCCUAUCUACUGCCUCUCAGCUUCCCCUCCAUGUAUGCUCUCCUCCCUAUCUACUGCCUGUCAGCUGCCCCUCCAUGUAUGCUCUCCUCCCUGGCUACAACCUGUGGGAGCUGUCCUCCAUGUAUGCUCUCCUCCCUAUCUCCAGCCUGUGUGAGCUGUCCUAUUUGUAUGCUCUCCUCCGUAUCUACAGCCUGUGUAAGCUCCUCCUCUCAUGUAUACUCUGCUUGCUAUCUGCAGCCUGUCUGAGGGUAGCUAAUUGGCACAUUCCUGUCUGCCUGAAGUUUAGUGUGACGUGGAAGGAGUUGAAGGCGUUAUCUAGGAUUCAUAAGACAGCUCCCCGUCUGUCCCCAGGUCGGUGUGGUAUUACAACUUUGCUUUAUUCACUUCAAUGGAACUGAGCUGCAGAACCGCACCCAACCUGGAGACAGACAGGAAGCGGUCUUUGAAAGAAAUUAGUGUUUUUUCAAUUCCUAGAUACCCCCUUUAAGGAGGACAUACCUGUGUGGACGCGCCUUUGUGCCACAUGGUAUAAAGGUGGAGUUCAGUGUCACUUAUGUAGAUGAAACUAAGUGGCACAGAUGUGUAGGUGGAGCUUAGUAUUAUAUUCCUAGGUGGGUGGAGAUCAGUAUCACACGUAGGCGGAGCUUAGUAUUCCUAGGUGGGCGGAAUUUAGGAUCACACGUAGGUGGAGCUCGGUAUGACACCUGUGUGAACGGAGUUUGAUGUCAUGUGUGGGUUGAGCUAUGUGGCACAGAUGUAUGGGCGGAGUUAAUACAUGCCUGUGUGGGCGGAGUUUAGUGUGAUCACAUAAUUGUGUGGAGGGUGAAGUCUUCACUAUUACAUGUACCGUCCAUGAGGGGCGCUCUAUACACCGUAGUCAGCCCCCUUAUAAAGAUGAGGCUGUAAUUAUCAUCAUAAGUUAUAACCUCAGAACGAGAAAAAUCCAUAAAUCACAUUGUCUGAUUAUUAAAGAAUUUAUCUGCAAAUAAUGGUGGAAAAUAAGUAUUUGGUCAAUAAUAAAAGUUCCUCUCAAUACUUUGUUAUAUCCCCUUUGUUGGCAAUGACAGAGGUCACAUGUUUUCUGUCUUCACAAGGUUCUCACACACUGUUGCUGGUAUCUUGGCGCAUUCCUCAAUGCAGAUCUCCUCUAGAGCAGUGAUGUUUUGGGGCUGUCGCUGGGCAACACAGACUUUCAACUUCCUCCAAAGGUUUUCUAUGGGGUUGAGAUCUGAAGACUGGCUAGGCCACUCCAGGACCUUGAAAUGCUUCUUAUGAAGCCACUCCUUCAUUGCCCGGGCGGUGUGUUUGGGAUCAUUGUCAUGCUGAAAGACCCAGCCACGUUUCAUCUUCAAUGCCCUUGCUGAUGGAAGGAGGUUUUCACCCAAAAUCUCACGAUACAUGGCCCCAUUCAUUCUUUUCUUUACACGGAUCAGUCCUCCUGGUCCCUUUGCUGCAAAACAGCUCCAAAGCCUGAUGGUCCCACCCCCAUGCUUCACAGUAGGUAUGGGGUUCUUUGGAUGCAACUCAGCAUUCUUUCUCCUCCAAACACAACGAGUUGAGUUUUUACCAAAAAGUUCUACUUUGGUUUCAUCUGACCAUAUGACAUUCUCCCAAUCCUCUUCUGGAUCAUCCAAAUGUUCUCUAGCACAGUGUUUCCCAA
Molecule: RNA transcript, 6514 nt
Organism: Hyla sarda
Lineage: Eukaryota; Metazoa; Chordata; Amphibia; Anura; Hylidae
Gene name: zinc finger protein 567-like
Exons: 10
Source: RefSeq, a predicted model, not a curated record